GGGAAUGUAACUUAAUUGGUAAAGUACUAAGCUUUUAACUUAUCUUAUCAGAGUUCGAGUCUCUGCGUUCUCA
Molecule: transfer RNA, 73 nt
Filed under: Mortierella sp. NVP85
Lineage: Eukaryota; Fungi; Mortierellomycota; Mortierellomycetes; Mortierellales; Mortierellaceae
Rfam family: tRNA
About the family: Transfer RNA (tRNA) molecules are approximately 80 nucleotides in length.
Source: Rfam by way of RNAcentral